Molecule: ribosomal RNA, 957 nt
Filed under: uncultured archaeon
Lineage: Archaea
Description: bacterial SSU rRNA
Rfam family: Archaeal small subunit ribosomal RNA
Source: RNAcentral
UUUUCCGGUUGAUCCUGCCGGACCCUACUGCUAUCGGGGUGGGACUAAGACAUGCAAGUUGCGCGUCUCUAAGCCAUGGUAGAGACGCAGCGUACGGCUCAGUAACACGUGGCUAACCUCCCCUUGGGACGGGGACAACCCCGGGAAACUGGGGCUAAUACUCGGUAGGCGAGGAGGCCUGGAAUGGUUCUUCGCUGAAAAGGCGUUGAAACCACGCUUUUCAACGUCGCCCAAGGAUGGGGCCGCGACCGAUCAGGUUGUUGGUGAGGUAACGGCUCACCAAGCCUAUAACCGGUACGGGCCGUGAGAGCGGGAGCCCGGAGAUGGGCACUGAGACAAGGGCCCAGGCCCUACGGGGCGCAGCAGUCGCGAAAACUCCGCAAUGCGCGAAAGCGUGACGGGGCUACCCCGAGUGCCGUCCGAUGAGGAUGGCUUUUCCCCGGUGUAAUGAGCCGGGGGAGUAAGGAGAGGGCAAGUCUGGUGUCAGCCGCCGCGGUAAUACCAGCUCUCCGAGUGGUAGGGAUGAUUAUUGGGCCUAAAGCGUCCGUAGCCGGCUUGGCAAGUCUCCUGUCAAAUUCAGCGACCUAAUCGUUGGGCCGCGGGAGAUACUACCAGGCUAGGAGGCGGUAGAGGCCGAGGGUAUUCUCGGGGUAGGGGUGAAAUCCUAUAAUCCUGGGAGGACCACCAGUGGCGAAGGCUCUCGGCUAGAACGCGCUCGACGGUGAGGGACGAAAGCUGGGGGAGCGAACCGGAUUAGAUACCCGGGUAGUCCCAGCUGUAAACGAUGCGGGCUAGGUGUUGGGGUGGCCACGAGCCACUUCAGUGCCGCAGGGAAGCCGUUAAGCCCGCCGCCUGGGAAGUACGGCCGCAAGGCUGAAACUUAAAGGAAUUGGCGGGGGAGCACCACAAGGCGUGAAGCUUGCGGUUCAAUUGGAUUCAACGCCGGAAAUCACUAGU